GACGAAGGGGGCUAGCGUUGUUCGGAAUUACUGGGCGUAAAGCGCGUGUAGGCGGUUGUCCAAGUUGGAUGUGAAAGCCUUGAGCUUAACUCAAGAAGUGCAUUCAGGACUGGAUGACUAGAGGACCGGAGAGGAUAGUGGAAUUCCCAGUGUAGUGGUGAAAUACGUAGAGAUUGGGAAGAACACCAGUGGCGAAGGCGGCUAUCUGGACGGUUUCUGACGCUAAGACGCGAAAGCGUGGGGAGCAAACAGG
RNAcentral lists this ribosomal RNA (253 nucleotides) under uncultured bacterium. RNAcentral describes it as "partial 16S ribosomal RNA". It matches the Rfam family "Bacterial small subunit ribosomal RNA", at positions 524 to 776 of the family's 1533-position model. The record is from RNAcentral.